AAAAAAUGAGGGAACAAAUACACAGCAAAGGGUUUCACAACAGAAAGAAAUGAGGGUUUGUUUUUAGGGUGAAAUGCGGCGCUUCACUUCCCGAACUGCAACGGCACGAUGACAAACAGAAGAAGAUCUGUGCUACAACCCUGCGGUGGUUGAAGUGAUUGAACACGUGGUAUGGAGAGAAAGUCAAAAAAAAAAAAGAGCGGAUGAGAAAGAUGCGAAAGGGAGAAGACGACGACGUACGGUGGUUCAAUAAAGAUCGAGUACGCAUAAACACAGUAAAAAGAAGAUGAUGAAGGCAUACAUCACCGUCGUUGGACCUUACCUUCGAAAAGCGGUUCAUCGUAGUCGCAAAUAGUAAUGGUGCAAGAAAGAAGAAAAAGAGAGGGGUACAUCUCCAACUAAGGCACACAACAAUUUGUAGAGGGAUAUGGCUUGUGGAUUUGGUUAAAUGAAAGGUUUGAUGGUUCCAGCAAGGCAUGAUUGCAGGGUAAGGUUUUGCAGAGUAGUUGAGGAAGCAGUUGCAGGGGUUCAAGGAAGAUCGUGUUUUUCUUAUUUCCAUUUUGUUUUGUUUUGUUUUUUGUUUUUUUUUGUUUGAUUUAGUAUAUGUAUUAUUAUUAUUUAUGUAUGUAUGAAUAUAAUUUUGAUUUAUACAAGAAUACAAAAUUUGGAGUUAA
This is a non-coding RNA of Cajanus cajan (pigeon pea), 674 nucleotides long. NCBI's taxonomy places the organism in Eukaryota, Viridiplantae, Streptophyta, Magnoliopsida, Fabales, Fabaceae. The record is from RefSeq and is a predicted model, not a curated record.